UCUAUCCACACCUUGGUUCUUAUCCUCUCCAUCACCAACCCUCCAAUUUUUGUUUCUUCAAGAAAGACAAGACACCAAAAUCCCUUUUCUCUCACAAUAUCCAUUCACUUUAUCAAUCACCAAGAUUUGCCUAGGUUGAACCCCAAACAACUCUACAUGAUUGAGGUUGUUUAUAUCAUGUACAAAUUGAGGAACUUGAGACACGGGUUGGUCUACGGUUUGAACUCCUGAAGUCGUACUGGAUUGUGGUAUUCUAAAAGGUUGAGGAAAUGUCCGAGAACAUGCUUGAGGUUGACCAUUGGAGAUAAAGUUUUGGGAGCUUAAAGGAAGAUCACAUUUGCAUAUAGGCAUCUAUAUUUUAUAGUAUUUUGGGACAUGUAUAUGAUCUAUGGGGUGCUUGUGUAUGGGCAUUUAUGUAUUUAUUUGUGAGGGUUGAUCCAUUCAUGACACCAUGGGUUAUAACUUAAAGUUGGUUGCUUGUUUUGUCAUUUUGGGGCAUGUAAAUUUUCAAGUCUUUUGAUGUACUAAAUUUACCUUUGGAGUUGAAAUAUUUGGAUGAAGCAUGAAUUAG
Solanum dulcamara is the source of this 571-nucleotide long non-coding RNA. RefSeq lists it as uncharacterized. The transcript is spliced from 3 exons. Lineage: Eukaryota; Viridiplantae; Streptophyta; Magnoliopsida; Solanales; Solanaceae. The record is from RefSeq and is a predicted model, not a curated record.